CCUACGGGAGGCAGCAGUGGGGAAUAUUGGACAAUGGGCGAAAGCCUGAUCCAGCAAUGCCGCGUGAGUGAUGAAGGCCUUAGGGUUGUAAAGCUCUUUUACCAGGGAUGAUAAUGACAGUACCUGGAGAAUAAGCUCCGGCUAACUCCGUGCCAGCAGCCGCGGUAAUACGGAGGGAGCUAGCGUUGUUCGGAAUUACUGGGCGUAAAGCGUACGUAGGCGGUUAUUCAAGUCAGAGGUGAAAGCCUGGAGCUCAACUCCAGAACUGCCUUUGAAACUAGAUAGCUAGAAUCUUGGAGAGGUGAGUGGAAUUCCGGAGUGUAGAGGUGAAAUUCGUAGAUAUUCGGAAGAACACCAGUGGCGAAGGCGACUCACUGGACAAGUAUUGACGCUGAGGUACGAAAGCGUGGGGAGCAAACAGGAUUAGAUACCCUGGUAGUCCACGCCGUAAACGAUGAUAACUAGCUGUUCGGGCUCUACGAGCUUGAGUGGCGCAGCUAACGCAUUAAGUUAUCCGCCUGGGGAGUACGGUCGCAAGAUUAAAACUCAAAGGAAUUGACGG
This 562-nucleotide ribosomal RNA is filed under the name uncultured bacterium. Its description in RNAcentral is "bacterial SSU rRNA". It matches the Rfam family "Bacterial small subunit ribosomal RNA", at positions 338 to 916 of the family's 1533-position model. The record is from RNAcentral.